Molecule: ribosomal RNA, 1053 nt
Filed under: Microbacterium flavum
Lineage: Bacteria; Bacillati; Actinomycetota; Actinomycetes; Micrococcales; Microbacteriaceae
Description: bacterial SSU rRNA
Rfam family: Bacterial small subunit ribosomal RNA
Source: RNAcentral
AAAGCCUGAUGCAGCAACGCCGCCUGAGGGACGACGGCCUUCGGGUUGUAAACCUCUUUUAGCAGGGAAGAAGCGAAAGUGACGGUACCUGCAGAAAAAGCGCCGGCUAACUACGUGCCAGCAGCCGCGGUAAUACGUAGGGCGCAAGCGUUAUCCGGAAUUAUUGGGCGUAAAGAGCUCGUAGGCGGUUUGUCGCGUCUGCUGUGAAAUCCCGAGGCUCAACCUCGGGUCUGCAGUGGGUACGGGCAGACUAGAGUGCGGUAGGGGAGAUUGGAAUUCCUGGUGUAGCGGUGGAAUGCGCAGAUAUCAGGAGGAACACCGAUGGCGAAGGCAGAUCUCUGGGCCGUAACUGACGCUGAGGAGCGAAAGGGUGGGGAGCAAACAGGCUUAGAUACCCUGGUAGUCCACCCCGUAAACGUUGGGAACUAGUUGUGGGGUCCAUUCCACGGAUUCCGUGACGCAGCUAACGCAUUAAGUUCCCCGCCUGGGGAGUACGGCCGCAAGGCUAAAACUCAAAGGAAUUGACGGGGACCCGCACAAGCGGCGGAGCAUGCGGAUUAAUUCGAUGCAACGCGAAGAACCUUACCAAGGCUUGACAUAUACGAGAACGGGCCAGAAAUGGUCAACUCUUUGGACACUCGUAAACAGGUGGUGCAUGGUUGUCGUCAGCUCGUGUCGUGAGAUGUUGGGUUAAGUCCCGCAACGAGCGCAACCCUCGUUCUAUGUUGCCAGCACGUAAUGGUGGGAACUCAUGGGAUACUGCCGGGGUCAACUCGGAGGAAGGUGGGGAUGACGUCAAAUCAUCAUGCCCCUUAUGUCUUGGGCUUCACGCAUGCUACAAUGGCCGGUACAAAGGGCUGCAAUACCGUAAGGUGGAGCGAAUCCCAAAAAGCCGGUCCCAGUUCGGAUUGAGGUCUGCAACUCGACCUCAUGAAGUCGGAGUCGCUAGUAAUCGCAGAUCAGCAACGCUGCGGUGAAUACGUUCCCGGGUCUUGUACACACCGCCCGUCAAGUCAUGAAAGUCGGUAACACCUGAAGCCGGUGGCCCAACCC